GACUAAGCUUCCUUGAGUUUCAUGUGAAGGGUCAGGAUUCUGUACCUUCAGCAAAGCUAAUUUUUGUUUCACAUCCUUCUCAGUGACAUUAAAAGUCUAUCUUGAUUUUAUUCAUUUUACUCCUGAUUAACCUUAUCAUCAUCUCUCUGAUAAAUAAUGCCACUCACUGUUAAAACUCUCAGCUUAUUUUUCACAUUGGAAAUGUAACUUUUGCUUCCUCUAGAUUAAGAAAUGGUUAUAUGGCUAUUACAAAAUGUCAGAAUUAUUUAAGAAAAACACUUUAAAAAAAUCACUGUUGCUUCUUUCAAACCUCCUUGAUACAUUUAAAGUUACAAAGAGUAAAGAAAAAUGACCCUAUCCAAUUUUCUGCUUACAUCUUGAGAACAGUCCUGUAAGUAAGACAACUCUGGAAGUCUCUCUCACUGACUUUUUAAUCUUCUGCAAGGGCAGAGCUUUUGCUUCUUUGAGGGCCUGGUCUUCACAGUCAACCUUGGUGUGACUCCUCCAAGCAAUCUUACUGGCUGUGGAGUCUGGAAAGCCUGAAGAUCCUUCCUAAAAAGAUGAACCCUGCCAUGUGUUCCUCCAUUCAGGUGGCCUUUUUCUGAUUCAGUGCAGCUUUCUGAGCAUGGGUGACCAAACCUGUACACCAUUUGCACAAAUUCAGUUCCAUCAGAUUGGUGAUUACAGCCAGAUGGAAGAGGUAAGAGGACUGAUAUUCCGAGGAUGAAUUCUCAGCAAAUUCUAAGAAGGUGCCUUUACGAGGUAUCUAGUUAUAUAAACCUCAGUCACUCAAGGGGGAAUCUUGUCCUAAGUAACGUAAGGUACAAAAAUACACACCUGAACUGACAAGGGGCCUGCUUCAUACAUGAGAAUUAACUCCCUGAACUGCUUGUUGUAACAUAUGGUAGGUUCUGUUCACAAGUGUGAUAGUGUGUGUGUGUGUGCAUGAAGAGCGCUGACUAAAGCCGUGUGAGGUACUGUUAGAGUGUUCCUAGCAUCUCAGGAAAGGCAACUUCUCAAGAAGGUAAACAUGUUUUGGGGAAUCUUUGCUGCACCACUGAAGUAUUCCACCAGUGAAGACUUCUGGAGAAGUGGUAAGAAGAAAUACUCACAGGUGACCUCCAGAGCAAGGUACUCCUGUUGAGUCUUUUAAGAUCUGAUUUUAAGAGGUCCUGGAUACCUUCUAGAAGAUGCUUCCUUAAGUAUCUGCACAUCAGCAUCCUAUAUAUUUUAAACCGAGCAUGCAAAAACACAGCACGGAUGGGCACUCUUAAAUGUGGUGGCCUACGUGACUUCCUUGUAGUCACUUGGCAGUGCAAUAAUAGAAAUAGGAACAUAGGAUUUCUUAUGUCUAUUGUGUCCAUUGGAACAAUACUGCUAAGAGCAACUGAGACCAAAGGCCUGGCCUUCAAAAUAUAUGACUUGAAAGGAAAGCUGCAUUUUUUUGGUAAGGUCCAAAUGUAUUUCAUUCAGCUUUGCUGCUACUCCCCAAGUUUGGUUAUAAACAAGUAUGAUUUCUACCCUGGAAGCCACACAUCUGGAUUGCAGUGCCUGUAACUGUUUUCAUCAUCACAAGUAGUUAUUGGCAUUGUUAUGUUCUGCAUGUGCACAAAACAGCUUGUACGAGGCAACCUGAGCAAACCCUGUUUUACAAUUGAAGAGUUUCAAUGUCUUAAAUCACCAGUCUGCAAGGUAGCCACAGCCAUUAAUUCUCUAUGUAAGACUCUGAAGUCUUAGAAUUCCACAUUGGUAACCCUAAAGAGUUCUGAUUCUGACUACUCCCUGUCAGAUUUCCAUGCUGACUCUUUGUCUGGUUGGGUCAACUGUCCAAAGCAAUGAUGUACCAACUACUUCUGUGGGAGACAAGUGUGAACUUGGGUAGAGCUCACCUAUAGCUGUAAAGCUUUUCGUAGCUAUACAACAAAAAUAACUUCUGUACAUCAUAAAUACAGUGAUGUAGGCUGUCAGGAUUAUCAAUACUCAAUUCUAAGUGUCAAAAUAAUGUUGCACCUGGAUGACUUCUGUGUAAGUAACAGACUGUUUUCCCGCUGCACAGUUGGCAUUCCCUGGAGUCUUUGGAUUCUGCACCAGGGAGGCUGAAUGUAUUUGAAUUCAUAUUUAAAAUGUUCCAGGCCCCUGAUUCCAGCCUCAGUUCCCCAAACAAUGACAGUGCAGGUGAUCACAGAAAGGUCACUUGGAACAAAUAAACACUUAAUUCCAGUCUGGAUAAGGAACUGCAGAAAUGGACAGGGAACUUGGAGACCUCCAAUCUUUGCACAGUUCAUACAAAGCAGGGGUCUGGGAGUACAUGGCUGCUGACAGAAUGAGAAGGGGACAUGAACUGCUCACUCCGAGGGACUAAGGACAUCUAGAGAAGGUGACUUUUCUUUGGAGGAAUUGAUAGACUUCACUGGUUCUCUGCCUUCCCUUCCACUUCUCAGAAAGGUCACCCCAAAAGCCUUGCCAAACUUCCAGGCAUGGUGGUAAGUGUGGAAGAGUAAAAUAAGAGUGCUUUUGCUGCAAAUUUGCUGUUAUCUUCCUCUCCUAAAUUGUUUCUAUUCCUGGUUAAACCUGUGGCUUGCCAAAUGACUUCUGUGUAACUUGUAGCUGAUUACCUCGUGUUCCCCAUUUCCUUUACACUUGUCUGGGCAAUUCUUUGCUCGCACAAGCAGAAGUAUGGACAGAGCCAUGGAACAGUCACCUACUGACCACACCGCUUCAAGCAAAUAGGACUGUGCACCCCCAGCCUGAGUAACGCCGUGAUGUGGUGUCUGAAGCUUUGCAGACUUACUGACCCAUGGGAAAGGCAGGCUGCAAAGGGCAGAGACAGAGAUAUGCCUUCAGCUGGCAUUCUCCUACCCCUCUUCUAACUGGGUGUCUCUGUUGACCUGUUUCAUAAAUCAUUAAUAAAUAGUACUUCUGAAUAAAUACUUUCUCUGUAUCUUCUCCAACACUAAGGAUUAAUUUUGCAUGGGUCUGUGCAUUUACUCUGUUCUUCAGCAGUCACAGAAAUUAAUCUCUUGGCCAGAUUUUAUGAAUGAUGUUCCACAUUUAUUACGUAUUAUGACCUUUCUGGAUAACAUAAAGCCAAGUCUAGGGAUCUGUCUUUGGUUCUAACAGUAUUUUUCUCCUCUAAUGAACAAUGUGUUGCAGUAUAUAGAUACCUGUGAUUUACAUCCUUCAUCUGAGUUUCAAGUAAGAUCAUGUGUAACAUUUUACAUGAAGCAAGGUGGUGAAUAGGAGAGUUCACUGACUUUUCAACCCUGGAAUCACCCAAACACUGGUUUACAUUCCAAAUAAAAUAUUUGGUAGGUUUCAGACCAGUCUUUACCAGUGUAUAUCACAGUGUUGCUGUUGGGAAAAACUGAAUUUAUUAAGGCAGUAUAUUUUAAAAAUUGGCUCCAGCACCACAGAGCUGGCAACAAGGAAAAAAUAAUCUAAGGCAGCAUGUAAAAAACUUGUUCUCUAGUUAGACUGUGAAUUUUCCAAUAACUGCCUCCAAUAGACCACCCUAUGACACUGAUUGCAAACAUAUAAAGGCUGAUUGUUUCAAAAGUCAUAUAAAUAAAAUGUAGAUGUUGAA
Long non-coding RNA from Athene cunicularia (burrowing owl), 3583 nucleotides. RefSeq lists it as uncharacterized. The transcript is spliced from 3 exons. NCBI's taxonomy places the organism in Eukaryota, Metazoa, Chordata, Aves, Strigiformes, Strigidae. The record is from RefSeq and is a predicted model, not a curated record.